UGUGAUUCAGUCCUGUCAACUGACUAGGGUA
This 31-nucleotide non-coding RNA is filed under the name Rattus norvegicus (Norway rat). Lineage: Eukaryota; Metazoa; Chordata; Mammalia; Rodentia; Muridae. The record is from RNAcentral.